Molecule: ribosomal RNA, 484 nt
Filed under: Granulicatella adiacens
Lineage: Bacteria; Bacillati; Bacillota; Bacilli; Lactobacillales; Carnobacteriaceae
Description: bacterial SSU rRNA
Rfam family: Bacterial small subunit ribosomal RNA
Source: RNAcentral
GACGAACGCUGGCGGCGUGCCUAAUACAUGCAAGUCGAACGAGAGCGACCGGUGCUUGCACUGGUCAAUCUAGUGGCGAACGGGUGAGUAACACGUGGGUAACCUGCCCAUCAGAGGGGGAUAACAUUCGGAAACGGAUGCUAAAACCGCAUAGGUCUUCGAACCGCAUGGUUUGAAGAGGAAAAGAGGCGCAAGCUUCUGCUGAUGGAUGGACCCGCGGUGCAUUAGCUAGUUGGUGAGGUAACGGCUCACCAAGGCCGUGAUGCAUAGCCGACCUGAGAGGGUGAUCGGCCACAUUGGGACUGAGACACGGCCCAAACUCCUACGGGAGGCAGCAGUAGGGAAUCUUCCGCAAUGGACGCAAGUCUGACGGAGCAACGCCGCGUGAGUGAAGAAGGUUUUCGGAUCGUAAAACUCUGUUGUUAGAGAAGAACAAGUGCUAGAGUAACUGUUAGCGCCUUGACGGUAUCUAACCAGAAACCCC